Non-coding RNA from Ornithorhynchus anatinus (platypus), 106 nucleotides. RefSeq annotates it as microRNA mir-1422b-2. The record is from RefSeq and is marked provisional. The transcript has a single exon. Lineage: Eukaryota; Metazoa; Chordata; Mammalia; Monotremata; Ornithorhynchidae.
GAGUAGCCACUGUGGUUCUGGUUUCAAUCCAUACCAAGAUUUUCUAUGUGUACAAAUAAUCUAGAAAAUCUUGUGUGGAUUGAUACCAGGGUCAGAUUAUAUACUC